CUUGGUAAAAAAUUCUAUAAAAAAAUUUUUAUAUUAAAAUAUGAGUCUAGUUUCAGGAAAAAUUUACAGAACUGGUUUUUGAGUUUUGGAACUCGAGAUAUGAUUUUUAAGGUGACAGUGACGCAGUUAGCCAGCAGUCUGGAAAUUUUUAAAAUGGACUGUGAAAUAAAUGAACUAUGUCUGUUAGCACCUCGUGGUCGACUCCGGCAACGGUCUUGGGUACAGGGUGUUACACACCCCUUUUAU
Molecule: long non-coding RNA, 246 nt
Filed under: Gossypium barbadense (sea-island cotton)
Lineage: Eukaryota; Viridiplantae; Streptophyta; Magnoliopsida; Malvales; Malvaceae
Description: long non-coding RNA (GBAR_LNC006506)
Source: RNAcentral